GUUCGAGUACAACAAGAGAAGUGCUAAGCAAAUCCCCCAGGAAGGAUAUUUGACCUCCACCAGCUUUUACAAACCAGUCCAACUAGAUGCCUCUGCUAAACAGAAAGACAAAAGCUUGUGAUGGUCUGGAAAAUCAACACUAAAUGUGCUAAGUUCAUUUAAGUAAGAACAUUUUGAGACCCAAACCUGAAAAUACCUGGCCAAAGAGGGCAUAUGUGUGUGUGUGUGUGUGUGUAUUCUUUUUUUUUUUUGAAACAGGGUCUUGCUAAAUUGCUGAAGCUGGGCCUCAAACUUCUGAUUCUCCUGCCUCAGCCUCCUAAAUCACUGGGAUUACAGGCAUGCACCAUCAAGCUUGGCUAAAGAGGGUACAUUGCUGAUAGAGUACAUAUAGUUGUAAGAGAAUAUUUUUCAAUUCUUAUUGGUUCCUUUGGCAGAACCCAGUUUGCAAAUCUAAUAGAAAGAUUUACCAGACAAAUGGGCUCAGAUACUGAUUGAAAACUAACCAAAUAGGCUAUGUUAAUUACUGUAAUUUAAACAUAUCAGGGUAAAGACAGAUUAAGGGGAUUCCAGGGCUUAAGUGAUCCUGUCUCAGCUUUCUGAGUAGCUGGAACUACAGGCAUGAGUCACCAUGCCUGGUGAUCCAUAUUGUAGCAUGUAUGAAUACUUUCUUUUUAUGACUGAAGAGCACAUUUUGUUUAUUCAAAUACUUAAUUGUUGAUCAAUAUCUGGGUUGGGUUGUUUUUACCUUUGUGCAGUUGUGAAUAAUGCUGCUAUGAACAUUUGUGUACAAGUAUUUGUUGGAAUACCUGUUUUCAGUCACUUUGGGUAUAGACUUAGGAAUGGAAUUGCUAUUUUGAAGCCAUAGCAAGAUUCUUCCUUGUGCUUACUCCCAAAAAAAAAAAACUAGGAAAAUUAAGAAUUAAAAAAUAACAGACAGAUCAAGGA
Molecule: long non-coding RNA, 945 nt
Filed under: Marmota monax (woodchuck)
Lineage: Eukaryota; Metazoa; Chordata; Mammalia; Rodentia; Sciuridae
Source: RNAcentral